This 533-nucleotide ribosomal RNA is filed under the name Brachypanorpa sp. CP-2006. RNAcentral describes it as "partial 16S ribosomal RNA". It matches the Rfam family "Bacterial large subunit ribosomal RNA", at positions 1829 to 2619 of the family's 2925-position model. The record is from RNAcentral. Lineage: Eukaryota; Metazoa; Arthropoda; Insecta; Mecoptera; Panorpodidae.
UCUUUUUGAAAAUAAUUUAAAGUCUAAUCUGCCCACUGAAAAUUUUAAAGGGCCGCGGUAUUUUGACCGUGCAAAGGUAGCAUAAUAAUUAGUCUUUUAAUUGAGGGCUAGAAUGAAUGAUUGGACGAGGUGUUGACUGUCUCAAUUUAAUGUUAAUAGAAUUUAAUUUUUAAGUUAAAAAGCUUAAAUAAAAUUAGAGGACGAGAAGACCCUAUAGAGCUUUAUAUUUUUAUUAUAAUUUAUGAAUAGAAUAAAAAUUUAUUUUAUAAAAAAAAAUAUUUUGUUGGGGUGACAAGAAGAUUUAAUAAACUCUUUUUAUAUAUUUAAACAAUGAUUUUUGAAAAAUUGAUCCAUUUUUAGUGAUUAUAAGAUUAAGUUACCUUAGGGAUAACAGCGUAAUUUUUUUUGAGAGUUCAUAUCGACAGAAAAGGUUGCGACCUCGAUGUUGGAUUAAGGGUUAUUUUUGGGUGUAGAAGUUCAAAGUUUAGGUCUGUUCGACCUUUGAAUCCUUACAUGAUCUGAGUUCAAACCGG